GAUGAAGAACGCAGCAAAAUGCGAUAAGUAAUGUGAAUUGCAGAAUUCAGUGAAUCAUCGAAUCUUUGAACGCACAUUGCGCCAGCCAGUAUUCUGGCGGGCAUGCCUGUUCGAGCGUCAUUUCAACCCUCAAGCACAGCUUGGUGUUGGGACUCGCGUUAAUUCGCGUUCCCCAAAUUGAUUGGCGGUCACGUCGAGCUUCCAUAGCGUAGUAGUAAAACCCUCGUUACUGGUAAUCGUCGCGGCCACGCCGUUAAACCCCAACUUCUGAAUGUUGACCUCGGAUCAGGUAGGAAUACCCGCUGAACUUAAGCAUAUCAAUAAGCGGAGGA
Molecule: unclassified non-coding RNA, 332 nt
Filed under: soil metagenome
Description: partial contains 5.8S ribosomal RNA, internal transcribed spacer 2, and large subunit ribosomal RNA
Rfam family: 5.8S ribosomal RNA (bases 1-120)
Source: RNAcentral